RNAcentral lists this long non-coding RNA (2053 nucleotides) under Carassius auratus (goldfish). RNAcentral describes it as "lncRNA (ENSCARG00000045779.1)". The record is from RNAcentral. Lineage: Eukaryota; Metazoa; Chordata; Actinopteri; Cypriniformes; Cyprinidae.
CUCUGUGCGGGCCCGCAAUAGAUGGACAGAUGGGUGGUCAAGUAGGUAUUUCACAGGUGGGAAUACAAUCGGCAAGCCCGCAGUCUGGUAAGUCUCCUCUGGUAAUUAAAUACUUCCAAACUCCCUUCCCUUCUUCACAGAUGCAGAAUUUGGGACGGAUGGAUAUCGGUCAGGUCCGUACACGGCAGAUACACAGCCUUGAGGUGGGGAUGUGUUUGGCAAGUGAGGGGUCCGGUAAGUCUCCUCUGGUAAUUAAAUACUUCCAAACUCCCUUCCCUUCUUCACAGAUGCAGAAUUUGGGACGGAUGGAUAUCGGUCAGGUCCGUACACGGCAGAUACACAGCCUUGAGGUGGGGAUGUGUUUGGCAAGUGAGGGGUCCGGUAAGUCUCCUCCGGUAAGUAUGUAAUUCCAGCCUUCCUUCCUUCUUCCACAGGUACGGAAUUUGAGGCGAAUGAUAUCAGUCAAGUACGUAUACGGCAGGUGCACGGUCUUCAGUAAGGUGGCUUCUCCUGACACCGUCAGAGUGGAUAUUCCAGACAAAGCGUGCCCCUCUCACGUUCGUGACAAAGGACAGUCACCUCUCUCAGCACAGGUGGGCCACAAGGAUGCAACAAACUCUAAGUCAACAGGCUGUGCAGGGUUUCUACUGAAACAGACAGAAUGGAUGCUUCAGACAAAGUAUACAGUUCACAUGCGUUGGAAGGAACGAACACUUCUCACAAUACGGAUGAAUAGCAGGGAUACAGCAGACUCGAAGUCAACAGGCUGAAUGGGGCUUCCUCAUACAGAUGAGUAGCAGGGAUACAGCAGGCUCGAAGUCAACAGGCUGAAUGGGGCUUCUUCUGAGACAGACAGAAUGGAUAUUUCAGGCAAGUAUACAGUUCACAUGCAUUGGAAGGAGCGAACACUUCUCACCAUACAGUUGAAUGGCAGGGAUACAGCAGACUCGAAGUCAACAGGCUGAAUGGGGCUUCUUCUGAGACAGACAGAAUGGAUGUUUCAGGCAAGUAUACAGUUCACAUGCAUUGGAAGGAACGAAUACUUCUCACAAUACAGGCGAAUAGCAGGGAUACAGCAGACUCGAAGUCAACAGGCUGAAUAUGGGCUUCUUCAUACAGUUGAAUGGCAGGGAUACAGCAGACUCGAAGUCAACAGGCUGAAUGGGGCUUCUUCUGAGACAGACAGAAUGGAUGUUUCAGGCAAGUAUACAAUUCACAUGUAUUGGAAGGAGCGAACACCUCUCACCAUACAGUUGAAUGGCAGGGAUACAGCAGACUCGAAGUCAACAGGCUGAAUGGGGCUUCUUCUGAGACAGACAGAAUGGAUGUUUCAGGCAAGUAUACAGUUCACAUGCAUUGGAAGGAGCGAACACCUCUCACCAUACAGUUGAAUGGCAGGGAUACAGCAGACUCGAAGUCAACAGGCUGAAUGGGGCUUCUUCUGAGACAGACAGAAUGGACGUUUCAGGCAAGUAUACAAUUCACAUGUAUUGGAAGGAGCGAACACCUCUCACCAUACAGUUGAAUGGCAGGGAUACAGCAGACUCGAAGUCAACAGGCUGAAUGGGGCUUCUUCUGAGACAGACAGAAUGGAUGUUUCAGGCAAGUAUACAAUUCACAUGUAUUGGAAGGAGCGGACACCUCUCACCAUACAGUCGAAUGGCAGGGAUACAGCAGACUCGAAGUCAACAGGUUGCACAGAGCUUUUCUGAGGCAGAUAGUAAAUAUUUCAACAGGGCAUCUCUUCUCCUAUUAGCACAACAGAGGGGUUAAUUCACAUCCCAGAUGAUAAAUCCUCAACAUCCAGACGGUUGGAACAAAUCAGUGUCGCAGGACUCUUACUAUUGACAGUCAGCCCUCAUGACACAUAGAGAGUGCAUGGCAAACAGGAAUGUAGCUUACACACACACACGACAAUUCCACUUCAAACAUAUAUUGUGGGGGAAAACAUCAAUUUUAGCCACUGCAAACUCACUUCACGACGUGCAAUUUAAAGCCAGCACUCACAUUCGGGUUUCUGUCCGAAGGGAAGGGGGAGGGCACAAUCCUCACU